AGUAAAACCCUUCAAGGAAGUAGAAACAAAACCCAAACCAAUGAAGUUUGGCAGUUAAAAAUUCCUAGAGAAAUUUGUUUCCUAAUCGUAAAUACUCGUUAAAUUUAACUUUUAGUAAAAAUUUAUAUACCGCCGUUAUCAGAAAUAAUAAAAAUAAAAUAUCAAAAUAAAUAAACAUUAAAAAAUCAGGUCAAGGUAUAAUCAAUCCAAAAGUAGAAAUUAAUUACACAUAAAAAUAAUUUAGGAAAUUUAAAUAAAAAUAAUUAAGAAAAAGAAUCUAUAAACAAACACAAAUCAAAAAUUUAAACUGAAAUACCUUAUUUUAAUGC
RNAcentral lists this ribosomal RNA (329 nucleotides) under Litoporus sp. Br16-153. RNAcentral describes it as "partial 12S ribosomal RNA". The record is from RNAcentral. Lineage: Eukaryota; Metazoa; Arthropoda; Arachnida; Araneae; Pholcidae.